CCUGGUUACAAGGGGAGUCCUCUAGGAGGCCUCCAUCCUGGAGGACUUUACAAGCUGAGCCCAGACAAGUGACAGAUGACAUCUGACCAGUCCUGAGUGGUGCCAGGGGCUUGUUCUGAAGCUGGAAGCAGAACUAUGUGUAAGAAGCAGAUUUCUGUUGCUAAGAAGAAGGCAUUCAGUGAUGGCAUCUGUGAUCACGUGACUUCAGCACCGGCCGGGACGAUGGGAGGGAUGCGUGUUGGGAAGAGCCAUUUCGAGGAUAUGGCUGAGGUGGCGCAGCUGGUAAAGAAUCGGCCUGCCAGUGCGGGAGACACAGAAG
Molecule: long non-coding RNA, 319 nt
Organism: Capra hircus (goat)
Lineage: Eukaryota; Metazoa; Chordata; Mammalia; Artiodactyla; Bovidae
Exons: 3
Source: RefSeq, a predicted model, not a curated record